RNAcentral lists this long non-coding RNA (671 nucleotides) under Homo sapiens (human). Its description in RNAcentral is "non-protein coding lnc-CYLC2-3:1". Lineage: Eukaryota; Metazoa; Chordata; Mammalia; Primates; Hominidae. The record is from RNAcentral.
UUCCAAAGUGAAAGCAGUACUUUCAUUUUGUGCAUACUUCCAAAAAAAAAAUAAGAAGAACAAGAAUCCUGCUCCAGUUUGUGUAAAACUUGCUUUUAGUGCCUGAGCCAGACCAUGUCAUUACCAUAGAUGUGUACAGUUCUCAGAUACUACGAUAUUUCCAUACCACUGUGGACAACUUACAUGCAAAAGCCUGCAGUGAAUGCAAGAGAAUAUUUCAGACUGAAGGGCUGUAUCAUUGUUUCACUUGAAGCAGAAGCAGCCAAAAGGGCUGCAUCAAUCAUGACAGACUGAAUGUGGAGUUUCCCUUGCUUUACCAAGAGAGAUGGAGGUCCAGAGGAUUGACUAGGACAUUUCUGGUUGGGAAUGUUAAAUGUGUGGCCAUCCCUGUGGACGACAUGACUGAUGCAUAAGGCACAAUAUGCCACAAAGUAGACAAACCUACUCUGCUGAAGCCACUAAAGUAUAUGACACGUUUACUCAUGGAAUCUUAUUUGAGCUAGCUAUUUCCAGAUAAAAUACUUCUACUUUCGAAGCUGUUUACAAACUUCAUUUCCUCAAGAAGACAAAAUAAAACACUCCUCUAAAACUCACAUUAUUAAUAUUCCAGUGAUUUGGCUGCACACAAGAGCAGUUUUGUCACUUAAUUGUUUAACCAUAUCCCUCCAUAA